GCCGCAUUGGCGUAGUGGUAUGCGCGCCCCACUUGUAUCGCAAGAUCAUGGGGAGGUCACUCGUUCGACCCGGGUAUGUGGCA
This 83-nucleotide transfer RNA is filed under the name Lentinus tigrinus ALCF2SS1-7. Its description in RNAcentral is "tRNA-Thr". It matches the Rfam family "tRNA". Rfam says of the family: Transfer RNA (tRNA) molecules are approximately 80 nucleotides in length. Their secondary structure includes four short double-helical elements and three loops (D, anti-codon, and T loops). RNAcentral also lists the same sequence under 1 other name. Lineage: Eukaryota; Fungi; Basidiomycota; Agaricomycetes; Polyporales; Polyporaceae. The record is from RNAcentral.